This 399-nucleotide long non-coding RNA is filed under the name Ictidomys tridecemlineatus (thirteen-lined ground squirrel). RNAcentral describes it as "lncRNA (ENSSTOG00000031657.1)". Lineage: Eukaryota; Metazoa; Chordata; Mammalia; Rodentia; Sciuridae. The record is from RNAcentral.
GAGGGAAGAGCAUGAGUUGGAAGUGCUCCACUGAAAUCCACUUCUUGGAAUCAGCCCCCAUGGUGAGGAGAGAAACUUUGAUUCUGCAGUGGCUCCUUGGAGAGGAACAACAGGGAUGGCAGUGACAGACAAAACUGGCCACCGACCCUGGGGUAUGGGACACUGAGGUCCAGUGCAGAGAAACUUGGUUAAAGUGGCAAGCUUUAAGAGGAUGGCAAAUCUCAGGAAGCAGGAGCUCAGCCCAGGGCAGGGCAAUGGCAGCAGAUACCCUGAUUCUCCUCUCAGCAGCCCAGACCUGCUUCCAGCAGACACCUGGAAGGGACCCCUUGCCCCCAGUGUUUGUGAGGCUUCUGCCAGGACCUCAGGUCACCUCAGGGUCUGUUUUCCUGCUUUGUCUUC